AAUAGAUACCCUGGUAGUCCACGCUGUAAACGGUGGGUACUAGGUGUGGGGUCCAUUCCACGGGUUCCGUGCCGUAGCUAACGCUUUAAGUACCCCGCCUGGGGAGUACGGCCGCAAGGCUAAAACUCAAAGGAAUUGACGGGGCCCCGCACAAGCGGCGGAGCAUGCGGAUUAAUUCGAUGCAACGCGUAGAACCUUACCUGGGUUUGACAUGGAUCGGGAGCGCUCAGAGAUGGGUGUGCCUCUUUUGGGGUCGGUUCACAGGUGGUGCAUGGCUGUCGUCAGCUCGUGUCGUGAGAUGUUGGGUUAAGUCCCGCAACGAGCGCAACCCUUGUUCACUGUUGCCAGCACAUUAUGGUGGGACUCAGUGGAGGCCGCCGGGGUCAACUCGGAGGAAGGUGGGGAUGACGUCAAGUCAUCAUGCCCCUUAUGUCCAGGGCUUCACGCAUGCUACAAUGGCUGGUACAGAGAGUGGCGAGCCUGUGAGGGUGAGCGAAUCUCGGAAAGCCGGUCUCAGUUCGGAUUGGGGU
Molecule: ribosomal RNA, 530 nt
Filed under: uncultured bacterium
Lineage: Bacteria
Description: bacterial SSU rRNA
Rfam family: Bacterial small subunit ribosomal RNA
Source: RNAcentral